This 478-nucleotide ribosomal RNA is filed under the name uncultured soil bacterium. Its description in RNAcentral is "bacterial SSU rRNA". It matches the Rfam family "Bacterial small subunit ribosomal RNA", at positions 26 to 502 of the family's 1533-position model. The record is from RNAcentral.
AGAUUGAACGCUGGCGGCAGGCCUAACACAUGCAAGUCGAGCGGCAGCACGGGUACUUGUACCUGGUGGCGAGCGGCGGACGGGUGAGUAAUGCCUAGGAAUCUGCCUGAUAGUGGGGGAUAACGCUCGGAAACGGACGCUAAUACCGCAUACGUCCUACGGGAGAAAGCAGGGGACCUUCGGGCCUUGCGCUAUCAGAUGAGCCUAGGUCGGAUUAGCUAGUUGGUGGGGUAAUGGCUCACCAAGGCGACGAUCCGUAACUGGUCUGAGAGGAUGAUCAGUCACACUGGAACUGAGACACGGUCCAGACUCCUACGGGAGGCAGCAGUGGGGAAUAUUGGACAAUGGGCGAAAGCCUGAUCCAGCCAUGCCGCGUGUGUGAAGAAGGUCUUCGGAUUGAAAGCACUUUAAGUUGGAGGAAGGCAGUUGCUAAUACGUAUCUGUUUGACGUUGCCGACAGAAUAAGCACCGGCUAACU